GGAGAACUGAGGGGGGCUGCUCCUAGUACGAGAGGACCGGAGUGGACGCAUCACUGGUGUUCGGGUUGUCAUGCCAAUGGCACUGCCCGGUAGCUAAAUGCGGAAGAGAUAAGUGCUGAAAGCAUCUAAGCACGAAACUUGCCCCGAGAUGAGUUCUCCCUGAGACUUUAGGUCUCCUGAAGGAACGUUGAAGACGACGACGUUGAUAGGCCGGGUGUGUAAGCGCAGCGAUGCGUUGAGCUAACCGGUACUAAUGAACCGUGAGGCUUAACCUUACAACGCCGAAG
RNAcentral lists this ribosomal RNA (287 nucleotides) under Salmonella enterica subsp. enterica serovar Minnesota. RNAcentral describes it as "partial 23S ribosomal RNA". It matches the Rfam family "Bacterial large subunit ribosomal RNA", at positions 2656 to 2925 of the family's 2925-position model. RNAcentral also lists the same sequence under 2 other names. Lineage: Bacteria; Pseudomonadati; Pseudomonadota; Gammaproteobacteria; Enterobacterales; Enterobacteriaceae. The record is from RNAcentral.